GGGUUGUGAGGUUAAGCGACUAAGCGUACACGGUGGAUGCCCUGGCAGUCAGAGGCGAUGAAGGACGUGCUAAUCUGCGAAAAGCGCCGGCGAGGUGAUAUGAACCUUUGACCCGGCGAUGUCCGAAUGGGGAAACCCAGUGUGAUUCGUCACACUAUCGUUAACUGAAUACAUAGGUUAACGAGGCGAACCGGGGGAACUGAAACAUCUAAGUACCCCGAGGAAAAGAAAUCAACCGAGAUUCCCCCAGUAGCGGCGAGCGAACGGGGAGCAGCCCAGAGUCUGAAUCAGCUUGUGUGUUAGUGGAAGCGUCUGGAAAGUCGCACGGUACAGGGUGACAGUCCCGUACACGAAAGCACACAGGCUGUGAACUCGAAGAGUAGGGCGGGACACGUGGUAUCCUGUCUGAAUAUGGGGGGACCAUCCUCCAAGGCUAAAUACUCCUGACUGACCGAUAGUGAACCAGUACCGUGAGGGAAAGGCGAAAAGAACCCCGGCGAGGGGAGUGAAAAAGAACCUGAAACCGUGUACGUACAAGCAGUGGGAGCCUCUUUUAUGGGGUGACUGCGUACCUUUUGUAUAAUGGGUCAGCGACUUAUAUUCUGUAGCAAGGUUAACCGUAUAGGGGAGCCGAAGGGAAACCGAGUCUUAACUGGGCGUUAAGUUGCAGGGUAUAGACCCGAAACCCGGUGAUCUAGCCAUGGGCAGGUUGAAGGUUGGGUAACACUAACUGGAGGACCGAACCGACUAAUGUUGAAAAAUUAGCGGAUGACUUGUGGCUGGGGGUGAAAGGCCAAUCAAACCGGGAGAUAGCUGGUUCUCCCCGAAAGCUAUUUAGGUAGCGCCUCGUGAACUCAUCUUCGGGGGUAGAGCACUGUUUCGGCUAGGGGGCCAUCCCGGCUUACCAACCCGAUGCAAACUACGAAUACCGAAGAAUGUUAUCACGGGAGACACACGGCGGGUGCUAACGUCCGUCGUGAAGAGGGAAACAACCCAGACCGCCAGCUAAGGUCCCAAAGUCAUGGUUAAGUGGGAAACGAUGUGGGAAGGCACAGACAGCCAGGAUGUUGGCUUAGAAGCAGCCAUCAUUUAAAGAAAGCGUAAUAGCUCACUGGUCGAGUCGGCCUGCGCGGAAGAUGUAACGGGGCUAAACCAUGCACCGAAGCUGCGGCAGCGACGCUUAUGCGUUGUUGGGUAGGGGAGCGUUCUGUAAGCCGUUGAAGGUGUCCUGUGAGGGGUGCUGGAGGUAUCAGAAGUGCGAAUGCUGACAUAAGUAACGAUAAAGCGGGUGAAAAGCCCGCUCGCCGGAAGACCAAGGGUUCCUGUCCAACGUUAAUCGGGGCAGGGUGAGUCGACCCCUAAGGCGAGGCCGAAAGGCGUAGUCGAUGGGAAACAGGUUAAUAUUCCUGUACUUGGUGUUACUGCGAAGGGGGGACGGAGAAGGCUAUGUUAGCCGGGCGACGGUUGUCCCGGUUUAAGCAUGUAGGCGGAGGUUCCAGGUAAAUCCGGUUCCUUGUUAACGCUGAGGUGUGAUGACGAGGCACUACGGUGCUGAAGUAACAAAUGCCCUGCUUCCAGGAAAAGCCUCUAAGCAUCAGGUAACAUCAAAUCGUACCCCAAACCGACACAGGUGGUCAGGUAGAGAAUACCAAGGCGCUUGAGAGAACUCGGGUGAAGGAACUAGGCAAAAUGGUGCCGUAACUUCGGGAGAAGGCACGCUGAUAUGUAGGUGAAGCCCCUGCGGGUGGAGCUGAAAUCAGUCGAAGAUACCAGCUGGCUGCAACUGUUUAUUAAAAACACAGCACUGUGCAAACACGAAAGUGGACGUAUACGGUGUGACGCCUGCCCGGUGCCGGAAGGUUAAUUGAUGGGGUUAGCGGCAACGCGAAGCUCUUGAUCGAAGCCCCGGUAAACGGCGGCCGUAACUAUAACGGUCCUAAGGUAGCGAAAUUCCUUGUCGGGUAAGUUCCGACCUGCACGAAUGGCGUAAUGAUGGCCAGGCUGUCUCCACCCGAGACUCAGUGAAAUUGAACUCGCUGUGAAGAUGCAGUGUACCCGCGGCAAGACGGAAAGACCCCGUGAACCUUUACUAUAGCUUGACACUGAACACUGGUCCUUGAUGUGUAGGAUAGGUGGGAGGCUUUGAAGCGUGGACGCCAGUCUGCGUGGAGCCAACCUUGAAAUACCACCCUUUAAUGGCUGGUGUUCUAACGUAGACCCGUAAUCCGGGUUGCGGACAGUGUCUGGUGGGUAGUUUGACUGGGGCGGUCUCCUCCCAAAGAGUAACGGAGGAGCACGAAGGUUAGCUAAUCCUGGUCGGACAUCAGGAGGUUAGUGCAAUGGCAUAAGCUAGCUUGACUGCGAGAGUGACGGCUCGAGCAGGUGCGAAAGCAGGUCAUAGUGAUCCGGUGGUUCUGAAUGGAAGGGCCAUCGCUCAACGGAUAAAAGGUACUCCGGGGAUAACAGGCUGAUACCGCCCAAGAGUUCAUAUCGACGGCGGUGUUUGGCACCUCGAUGUCGGCUCAUCACAUCCUGGGGCUGAAGUAGGUCCCAAGGGUAUGGCUGUUCGCCAUUUAAAGUGGUACGCGAGCUGGGUUUAGAACGUCGUGAGACAGUUCGGUCCCUAUCUGCCGUGGGCGCUGGAGAAUUGAGGGGGGCUGCUCCUAGUACGAGAGGACCGGAGUGGACGCAUCACUGGUGUUCGGGUUGUCAUGCCAAUGGCACUGCCCGGUAGCUAAAUGCGGAAGAGAUAAGUGCUGAAAGCAUCUAAGCACGAAACUUGCCCCGAGAUGAGUUCUCCCUGAGACUUUAAGUCUCCUGAAGGAACGUUGAAGACUACGACGUUGAUAGGUCGGGUGUGUAAGCGCAGCGAUGCGUUGAGCUAACCGAUACUAAUGAACCGUGAGGCUUAACCUUACAACGCCGAAGGUGUUU
Molecule: ribosomal RNA, 2934 nt
Filed under: Enterobacter sp. RHBSTW-00340
Lineage: Bacteria; Pseudomonadati; Pseudomonadota; Gammaproteobacteria; Enterobacterales; Enterobacteriaceae
Description: 23S ribosomal RNA
Rfam family: Bacterial large subunit ribosomal RNA
Source: RNAcentral